Molecule: non-coding RNA, 86 nt
Organism: Paramuricea clavata
Lineage: Eukaryota; Metazoa; Cnidaria; Anthozoa; Malacalcyonacea; Plexauridae
Source: the annotation of a GenBank genome assembly
AACUCGUUCUCAGAGUAUGCCCGUUCGCAGGUUAGGGCCCAGUACCUAACCUGCGAACGGGCAUACUCUGGGAACGAGUCGAUAAG